RNAcentral lists this ribosomal RNA (2903 nucleotides) under Klebsiella quasipneumoniae. RNAcentral's name for it is "23S ribosomal RNA". It matches the Rfam family "Bacterial large subunit ribosomal RNA". Lineage: Bacteria; Pseudomonadati; Pseudomonadota; Gammaproteobacteria; Enterobacterales; Enterobacteriaceae. The record is from RNAcentral.
GGUUAAGCGACUAAGCGUACACGGUGGAUGCCCUGGCAGUCAGAGGCGAUGAAGGACGUGCUAAUCUGCGAAAAGCGUCGGUAAGGUGAUAUGAACCGUUACAGCCGGCGAUGUCCGAAUGGGGAAACCCAGUGUGAUUCGUCACACUAUCGUUAACUGAAUACAUAGGUUAACGAGGCGAACCGGGGGAACUGAAACAUCUAAGUACCCCGAGGAAAAGAAAUCAACCGAGAUUCCCCCAGUAGCGGCGAGCGAACGGGGAGCAGCCCAGAGUCUGAAUCAGCUUGUGUGUUAGUGGAACGGUCUGGAAAGUCCGACGGUACAGGGUGAUAGUCCCGUACACCAAAAUGCACAGGUUGUGAACUCGAAGAGUAGGGCGGGACACGUGGUAUCCUGUCUGAAUAUGGGGGGACCAUCCUCCAAGGCUAAAUACUCCUGACUGACCGAUAGUGAACCAGUACCGUGAGGGAAAGGCGAAAAGAACCCCGGCGAGGGGAGUGAAAAAGAACCUGAAACCGUGUACGUACAAGCAGUGGGAGCACCUUUAUGGUGUGACUGCGUACCUUUUGUAUAAUGGGUCAGCGACUUAUAUUCUGUAGCAAGGUUAACCGUAUAGGGGAGCCGCAGGGAAACCGAGUCUUAACUGGGCGUUAAGUUGCAGGGUAUAGACCCGAAACCCGGUGAUCUAGCCAUGGGCAGGUUGAAGGUUGGGUAACACUAACUGGAGGACCGAACCGACUAAUGUUGAAAAAUUAGCGGAUGACUUGUGGCUGGGGGUGAAAGGCCAAUCAAACCGGGAGAUAGCUGGUUCUCCCCGAAAGCUAUUUAGGUAGCGCCUCGUGAACUCAUCUUCGGGGGUAGAGCACUGUUUCGGCUAGGGGGUCAUCCCGACUUACCAACCCGAUGCAAACUACGAAUACCGAAGAAUGUUAUCACGGGAGACACACGGCGGGUGCUAACGUCCGUCGUGAAGAGGGAAACAACCCAGACCGCCAGCUAAGGUCCCAAAGUCAUGGUUAAGUGGGAAACGAUGUGGGAAGGCACAGACAGCCAGGAUGUUGGCUUAGAAGCAGCCAUCAUUUAAAGAAAGCGUAAUAGCUCACUGGUCGAGUCGGCCUGCGCGGAAGAUGUAACGGGGCUAAACCAUGCACCGAAGCUGCGGCAGCGACACUAUGUGUUGUUGGGUAGGGGAGCGUUCUGUAAGCCUGCGAAGGUGACCUGUGAGGGCUGCUGGAGGUAUCAGAAGUGCGAAUGCUGACAUAAGUAACGAUAAAGCGGGUGAAAAGCCCGCUCGCCGGAAGACCAAGGGUUCCUGUCCAACGUUAAUCGGGGCAGGGUGAGUCGACCCCUAAGGCGAGGCCGAAAGGCGUAGUCGAUGGGAAACAGGUUAAUAUUCCUGUACUUGGUGUUACUGCGAAGGGGGGACGGAGAAGGCUAUGUUAGCCGGGCGACGGUUGUCCCGGUUUAAGCAUGUAGGCUGGUUAUCCAGGCAAAUCCGGAUAAUCAAGGCUGAGGUGUGAUGACGAGGCACUACGGUGCUGAAGUAACAAAUGCCCUGCUUCCAGGAAAAGCCUCUAAGCAUCAGGUAACAUCAAAUCGUACCCCAAACCGACACAGGUGGUCAGGUAGAGAAUACCAAGGCGCUUGAGAGAACUCGGGUGAAGGAACUAGGCAAAAUGGUGCCGUAACUUCGGGAGAAGGCACGCUGGUGUGUAGGUGAAGUCCCUGCGGAUGGAGCUGAGACCAGUCGAAGAUACCAGCUGGCUGCAACUGUUUAUUAAAAACACAGCACUGUGCAAACACGAAAGUGGACGUAUACGGUGUGACGCCUGCCCGGUGCCGGAAGGUUAAUUGAUGGGGUUAUCCGUAAGGAGAAGCUCUUGAUCGAAGCCCCGGUAAACGGCGGCCGUAACUAUAACGGUCCUAAGGUAGCGAAAUUCCUUGUCGGGUAAGUUCCGACCUGCACGAAUGGCGUAAUGAUGGCCAGGCUGUCUCCACCCGAGACUCAGUGAAAUUGAACUCGCUGUGAAGAUGCAGUGUACCCGCGGCAAGACGGAAAGACCCCGUGAACCUUUACUAUAGCUUGACACUGAACAUUGAGCCUUGAUGUGUAGGAUAGGUGGGAGGCUUUGAAGCGUGGACGCCAGUCUGCGUGGAGCCAACCUUGAAAUACCACCCUUUAAUGUUUGAUGUUCUAACGUUGGCCCCUUAUCGGGGUUGCGGACAGUGUCUGGUGGGUAGUUUGACUGGGGCGGUCUCCUCCCAAAGCGUAACGGAGGAGCACGAAGGUUAGCUAAUCCUGGUCGGACAUCAGGAGGUUAGUGCAAUGGCAUAAGCUAGCUUGACUGCGAGCGUGACGGCGCGAGCAGGUGCGAAAGCAGGUCAUAGUGAUCCGGUGGUUCUGAAUGGAAGGGCCAUCGCUCAACGGAUAAAAGGUACUCCGGGGAUAACAGGCUGAUACCGCCCAAGAGUUCAUAUCGACGGCGGUGUUUGGCACCUCGAUGUCGGCUCAUCACAUCCUGGGGCUGAAGUAGGUCCCAAGGGUAUGGCUGUUCGCCAUUUAAAGUGGUACGCGAGCUGGGUUUAGAACGUCGUGAGACAGUUCGGUCCCUAUCUGCCGUGGGCGCUGGAGAAUUGAGGGGGGCUGCUCCUAGUACGAGAGGACCGGAGUGGACGCAUCACUGGUGUUCGGGUUGUCAUGCCAAUGGCACUGCCCGGUAGCUAAAUGCGGAAGAGAUAAGUGCUGAAAGCAUCUAAGCACGAAACUUGCCCCGAGAUGAGUUCUCCCUGAGACUUUAAGUCUCCUGAAGGAACGUUGAAGACGACGACGUUGAUAGGCCGGGUGUGUAAGCGCAGCGAUGCGUUGAGCUAACCGGUACUAAUGAACCGUGAGGCUUAACCUU